GGUGCUUGUGAUGAUUUCAGGGUAAUCUAGUAACCAUGAUUAUUGGUGUCUACAGUGGCAAUGAGUUCUUUUGGGAUCUCGUGGUGACUGCUGAUGGUAUUCUCCUGAUCUCUUUUUCUUUUACAGAAAUAUUUGCGACUGAGUAAGAGGACGUUGCAGCCUGGCAGCAGAUAUCGCCAGCCCAUGGGGACAAGCGACCAGGAAGCCGCUCCCUCCCAGAUGGGCCGCCAUGGCUAACUGGGACCUCCAGCACCAACAAGUCUCAAUCCUCAGGGAGGACCUGCCUAAGUAUGGUGACUUCAUGUUCCAGUCCUUGAAACUCGAAAGCGGAAGAAACACACAGAAGACACUGUGGUAGGAAUGGAGCCUCCUUCCUGGUGUGAGAACGCUGCUUAACCUGGAAUGAGACUAUCUAGAAAGUCAUAACAAUCCGAAAAAUCCCAAUGCUACAGAAGGAUCCAAGUUCGGGAUGUUCAUCUGCUGUGGGGACUGCAGGCAAUGGAAAGUCUGGUCAUCAACAGUUCCAUUCUCUUCAGUGUCAACAAAGGUCUGGGUUGUGUGAGGAUCCAAGAAGAUGAGCUCAUCACCUAAGAAUCCUAUGACAUAAUGGGUGUUAUUUGGUUUUCCUCCUGAUGCCCCUAAAGACUGUGGGAUCUUAAAACACUCUUUGAAUGCAUCAACAUACACAGGAUCGAUUUGGUGUAUGCCCAAGCAAAGGGGCACAAUGAGGAGCAGGGGUUUCUAGGCUGGGCAGAAGGCAGAGGUGCCUUUACUCUGGUUCAAAGUGAUAAAAGAACCAGGGGCUUUCGUCAGCUGCGUCAGCAUGAAAGGGAAGGACUCGGCACAUUUUCUUGAUAUCCUCAAUGACCACUGUGUUAUCCAUUGAAACAUAAACAGCCAAGGAAUUCCAUUCAUCAAAUAAAGCAAGUUUUUUUAAUACCUGUGCAACUGUAUUUGGUCCAAACCAUUCGCCAACUGAUUUCCCCUCUCCUACACCCAUUUGUGCCAUUUGAUGGAUAGAAUAGCAACAGUCUUUUCUAUCUAAGAAUCACUGUAGGAUCCGUUGGUAUUCUUUGGGUUGUUCUUUUUGUUUCUCCCAGUUUCAGUCCCUUCCCAAGUGUCUACAGAUAAAGGCUUGAGCCAGCAUCAUCUGUCCACAACGCAGUAUACAUCCCCAGCCCGCGU
Molecule: long non-coding RNA, 1185 nt
Filed under: Heterocephalus glaber (naked mole-rat)
Lineage: Eukaryota; Metazoa; Chordata; Mammalia; Rodentia; Bathyergidae
Description: lncRNA (ENSHGLG00000047092.1)
Source: RNAcentral